AUUAGAAAUGGACGCAAGUCUGAUCUAGCAACACCGCGUGUGCGAUGAAGGCCUUCGGGUUGUAAAGCACUUUUUGGAAGGAUUAGGAAGGAAUGUACUUCCAGAAUAAGUCUCGGCUAACUACGUGCCAGCAGCCGCGGUAACACGUAGGAGGCGAACGUUAUCCGGAUUUACUGGGCGUAAAGCGCGUGUAGGUGGUUCUGUAAGUAGGGCGUGAAAGCUCCUGGCUCAACUGGGAGAGGCCGUUCUAAACUGCAGAGCUAGAGGAUGGUAGAGGGAGGUGGAAUUCCGGGUGUAGCGGUGGAAUGCGCAGAUAUCCGGAGGAACACCAGUGGCGAAGGCGGCCUCCUGGACCAUUCCUGACACUCAGACGCGAAAGCUAGGGUAGCAAACGG
RNAcentral lists this ribosomal RNA (395 nucleotides) under uncultured bacterium. Its description in RNAcentral is "bacterial SSU rRNA". It matches the Rfam family "Bacterial small subunit ribosomal RNA", at positions 363 to 775 of the family's 1533-position model. The record is from RNAcentral.